CAGAGUUCAUGCCCUUACGGGUAGAUCUCCCACCCUUGAAUAUAUACCUUUGUUGCUUUGGCGGGUCGCAUCGUCCACUGGCUUUUGCUAGUGAGUGCCCGCCAGAGAACCCUAAAUUCUGAAUUAAAGUGUCGUCUGAGUAUUAUAUAAUAGUUA
This 156-nucleotide unclassified non-coding RNA is filed under the name uncultured Cistella. RNAcentral describes it as "sequence contains ITS1". The record is from RNAcentral. Lineage: Eukaryota; Fungi; Ascomycota; Leotiomycetes; Helotiales; Hyaloscyphaceae.